Molecule: transfer RNA, 85 nt
Filed under: bacterium
Lineage: Bacteria
Also listed under: 5 other names
Description: tRNA-Leu
Rfam family: tRNA
About the family: Transfer RNA (tRNA) molecules are approximately 80 nucleotides in length. Their secondary structure includes four short double-helical elements and three loops (D, anti-codon, and T loops).
Source: RNAcentral
GCGCGAGUGGCGGAAUUGGCAGACGCGCCAGAUUUAGGAUCUGGUGCCCUAGGGCGUGGAGGUUCAAGUCCUCUCUCGCGUACCA